Long non-coding RNA from Aquila chrysaetos chrysaetos, 1313 nucleotides. RefSeq lists it as uncharacterized. Lineage: Eukaryota; Metazoa; Chordata; Aves; Accipitriformes; Accipitridae. The record is from RefSeq and is a predicted model, not a curated record. The transcript is spliced from 2 exons.
CCGCGGCGAGUAAAUGCUCCCGCCUCCCCCAGCCCUUGCACGACGUCCCACCACGUGCACAGCCGGUCGCCGAAGCCCCGCCAAGGUCAGUGGGAAUUUUUGUCAUUGAGUUUGGUGCAGGCAGGAUUUCCCCCCAUGGACACACACCUCCUCCUGGAAGCACGUGCAUGCGAGUGUUUGUGUAUAUACGUACGCUUUACAGUACAAAGUACUUACAGGAAGGCAUUUUCUCUCUUGAAAUAUUUUCCUUCAACUUCGUAUUUCGUGAAGGCAGACCCUCGCUGUCACAGCCGCAGUUUCUCACAGCUUAACGGUGUUAAAGAGCCCUUCUUGGUCCCGACUGCUGCAAUAACAAUCAGGGGAGGAAGGGGAAAUGAGCAGUGUAGCACACGCUGUACCUUCCAGCCACCAGCUAUUGUUAAGAGCACGUUGCUCCAGACAGAGUGGCAGCAAGGCACGGGGUGGGAAGCAGGUGUAACCUGCCAGGAACACCAGUCUCGCAAAAGUUGAUUUUUAAUUCAGACGAGUACCCCUACUUCCCAGCUGCCUCUCACCACCAAAUUGGAGGACGUUUUACAAUCCUGUCGCUCAACACUUGAAAGCUUAACAAACGCCUUUACGGCAAACGAAGAGCUCAUUUUCUCAUGUCGGCGCUUUGGUCAUUCAUCUGCAAAGUCACCGAGCUUUUUUAAUUCAACUCCCUAUCAUAGUAUUGCAUUUCAUGUGCAACAGUUUGCUCUCAGGAAGCACGUUUCCAGACGCUUUGCUGUAGUUUGGGUUCUUUAGAGUCCAAAAUCUCUCCUCCUUGCUCGUCCAGCUUGUUUUUCUUCUACUCUCUUCAGAAAGUCCCACCAGCAAAGGCUGCCCAGGCUGUGGUAGCCCCAGUGGAGUACUUUGCUCAAGCUAGAUCUACACAGCAGUGACAGUGGACAAGAACAACUUACAAGUAAUUUUGGACCGAACAAGAUACAUCUGUCCCUGUGCUGCACUGGAGAUGCAUCCGUCUGCGCCACGAGAGCUGUCGUUGUCUCCUCAUCUAUCACUUCCCACUUGUGGCAUCGCUUCAUCUAAUCAACAGUAACUUGCCGUCUGCACUGCCAAGAAACUUUGAAAAUGUUCUGAAUUUCGUACCAGGAAAGGCCAUAAGGUGCACUUUGUAUGUCAAACGUCUCAGAAAUUGGUUCUGGGCUACUGCAAACUCUUACCCAAAAUACAUGGGGAUACAGUUCUACGUUGUUUGCUGUUUUUCUGGUUUUGAGCACUGGUAUAAUAUACCCUAAUAAAGCAUUUUACAUUUUGCUUUGCACCUUUCA